AGCUAUUUACAGCUUUUAAGCAAUUUUCUGUUGGUUUUAGUCUCUUCUAAGAGAAAAUGGGUAUAAGUGUUGUCUAAACACUCCUAAUCUAUCUCUAACUCAUAGAAUUAGUCAAAUGCUUUGGAUUGUGAUAAAAUUUGACCAUAGAAACAAUAACAAAGCUAUUUAGUGUUUUUAAGCAAUUUUUUAUUGGUUUUAUACUCUAUUGGGAGAAAAUAGGUAUGAGUAUUGUCUAAACACUCCUAAUCCAUCUUUAACUCUUCUAAUUAGUCAAAUGCAAUGGAUUCUGACACAUUUUCACCAUAGAAACACUAACAAAGAUAUUGACUACUUCUAAGCAAUUUUUUGUUGGUUUUAGCAUCUUCUGGGAGAAAAUAGGUAUAAGUGUUGUCUAAACACUCCUAAUCCAUAUUUAACGCUUAUAAUUAGUCAAAUACAUUAGAUUGUAACACAUUUUGACCAUAGAAAUACUAACAAAGCUAUUGACCGCUUCUAAGCAAUUUUUUGUUGGUUUUAGUCUCUUUUGGGAGAAAAUGGGUGUAAGUAUUGUCUGAACACUCCUAAUCUAUCUCUAACUCUUAUAAUUAGUCAAAUGCUUUGGAUUAUGACAAACUUUGACCAUAGAAACCCUAACAAAGCUAUUGACUGUUUCUAAGCAAUUUUUUGUUGGUUUUAGCCUCUUUUGGGAGAAAAUGAGUGUAAGUGUUGUCUGAACACUCCUAAUCUAUCUCUAUCUCAUAUAAUUAGUCAAAUGCUUUGGAUUCUGACAAAAUUUGACCAUAGAAACAAUAACAAAGCUAUUUAGUACUUCUAAGCAAUAUUUUGUUGGUUUUAGCCUCUUCUGGGUGAAAAUAGGUAUAAGUAUUGUCUAAACACUCCUAAUCCAUCUCUAACUCUUAUUAUUAUUCAAAUACAUAUG
RNAcentral lists this small RNA (919 nucleotides) under Arabidopsis thaliana (thale cress). Its description in RNAcentral is "ATSL204870". Lineage: Eukaryota; Viridiplantae; Streptophyta; Magnoliopsida; Brassicales; Brassicaceae. The record is from RNAcentral.